UACGAGUGCCCCAAGCGUUAUCCGGAAUCAUUGGGCGUAAAGGGUGUGUAGGCGGCGCUGUUAGUCUUUUGUCAAAUUCUUGGGCUUAACCCAAGACUUGCAGAGGAAACGGCAGUGCUUGAGGGUGCGAGAGGUGAAUGGAACUCAUGGAGUAGGGGUGAAAUCCGUUGAUAUCAUGGGGAACACCGAAAGCGAAGGCAAUUCACUGGCGCAUUUCUGACGCUGAAACACGAAAGCGUGGGUAGCGAACGGG
RNAcentral lists this ribosomal RNA (253 nucleotides) under uncultured prokaryote. RNAcentral's name for it is "partial 16S ribosomal RNA". It matches the Rfam family "Bacterial small subunit ribosomal RNA", at positions 524 to 776 of the family's 1533-position model. The record is from RNAcentral.